Non-coding RNA from Triticum aestivum (bread wheat), 125 nucleotides. The record is from Rfam. NCBI's taxonomy places the organism in Eukaryota, Viridiplantae, Streptophyta, Magnoliopsida, Poales, Poaceae.
UUACUACUCCCUCCGUCCGAAAAUAUUUGUCGGGGGAAUGGAUGUAUUUAGAUGCAAUUUAGUUCUAGAUACAUCCAUUUCCAUCAAUUUCUCCGACAAAUAUUUUCGGACGGAGGGAGUAUUUU